RNAcentral lists this ribosomal RNA (552 nucleotides) under Clinotarsus curtipes (bicolored frog). RNAcentral's name for it is "partial 16S ribosomal RNA". It matches the Rfam family "Bacterial large subunit ribosomal RNA", at positions 1829 to 2597 of the family's 2925-position model. Lineage: Eukaryota; Metazoa; Chordata; Amphibia; Anura; Ranidae. The record is from RNAcentral.
CGCCUUUUGACGAAACAUAAAAGGUCCAGCCUGCCCAGUGACUUAGUUUAACGGCCGCGGUACCCUAACCGUGCGAAGGUAGCAUAAUCACUUGUUCUUUAAAUAGGGACUUGUAUCAACGGCAUCACGAGAGCUUUACUGUCUCCUUUUUCUAAUCAGUGAAACUGAUCUCCCCGUGAAGAAGCGGGGAUGAACCUAUAAGACGAGAAGACCCCAUGGAGCUUUAAACCUUAACGCACCUCUUUUUCUGCAAAUCAUUUCAAGUAAAGAGUGUUGCAUGCUAGUUUUAGAUUGGGGGGAUCACGGAGCAAAAAUUAACCUCCUUGAUAAACGGACUCUGUUCUUAUUUGAGAAAUACCUUUCCAAGAAUCAAUAAAUUGAUGUUUAAUGACCCAAAUUUUUGAUCAACGAACCAAGUUACCCUGGGGAUAACAGCGCAAUCUACUUUGAGAGCCCAUAUCGACAAGUAGGUUUACGACCUCGAUGUUGGAUCAGGAUAUCCCAGUGGUGCAGCCGCUACUAAUGGUUCGUUUGUUCAACGAUUAAAAUCCU